AUACUUACCCGGCAGGGGAGAAACCGUGAUCUUGAAGGUGGUUUUCCCAGGGCGAGGCUUCGCCGUCGCACUCUGGAUGUGCCGGGCCCGGCGAUUUCCCCAAUAGGGAGACUCGACUGCACGAUUUGUGGUGGGGGAGACCAUCCUG
RNAcentral lists this small nuclear RNA (148 nucleotides) under Sorex araneus (European shrew). RNAcentral's name for it is "U1 spliceosomal RNA (ENSSARG00000015424.1)". It matches the Rfam family "U1 spliceosomal RNA". Rfam says of the family: U1 is a small nuclear RNA (snRNA) component of the spliceosome (involved in pre-mRNA splicing). Its 5' end forms complementary base pairs with the 5' splice junction, thus defining the 5' donor site of an intron. The record is from RNAcentral. Lineage: Eukaryota; Metazoa; Chordata; Mammalia; Eulipotyphla; Soricidae.